This 503-nucleotide ribosomal RNA is filed under the name uncultured Gammaproteobacteria bacterium. RNAcentral describes it as "bacterial SSU rRNA". It matches the Rfam family "Bacterial small subunit ribosomal RNA", at positions 9 to 510 of the family's 1533-position model. The record is from RNAcentral. Lineage: Bacteria; Pseudomonadati; Pseudomonadota; Gammaproteobacteria.
GAGUUUGAUCAUGGCUCAGAUUGAACGCUGGCGGAAUGCUUUACACAUGCAAGUCGAGCGGCAGCGCGGGGCAACCUGGCGGCGAGCGGCGAACGGGUGAGUAAUGCAUCGGGACCUACCUAGACGUGGGGAUAACGUAGGGAACUUACGCUAAUACCGCAUACGUCCUACGGGAGAAAGCGGGGGAGUCGCAAGACCUCGCGCGGUUAGAUGGACCGAUGUGCGAUUAGCUAGUUGGUAAGGUAACGGCUUACCAAGGCGACGAUCGCUAGCUGGUCUGAGAGGAUGAUCAGCCACACUGGGACUGAGACACGGCCCAGACUCCUACGGGAGGCAGCAGUGGGGAAUAUUGGACAAUGGGCGCAAGCCUGAUCCAGCAAUGCCGCGUGUGUGAAGAAGGCCCUCGGGUUGUAAAGCACUUUUAUCAGGAGCGAAAUCUGCAUGGUUAAUACCCAUGUAGUCUGACGGUACCUGAGGAAUAAGCACCGGCUAACUCCGUGCCA